UACGUAGGGGGCGAGCGUUAUCCGGAUUUACUGGGCGUAAAGAGCGCGUAGGCGGUUCCGCAAGUUGGUUGUGAAAGUUCGAGGCUCAACCUCGAAACUGCGUCCAAAACUGCGGGGCUGGAGUGCAAGAGAGGCAAGUGGAAUUCCCGGUGUAGUAGUGAAAUGCGUAGAUAUCGGGAGGAACACCAGUGGCGAAGGCGGCUUGCUAGCUUGCAACUGACGCUGAGGCGCGAAAGCUAGGGGAG
This 245-nucleotide ribosomal RNA is filed under the name uncultured bacterium. RNAcentral's name for it is "partial 16S ribosomal RNA". It matches the Rfam family "Bacterial small subunit ribosomal RNA", at positions 524 to 768 of the family's 1533-position model. The record is from RNAcentral.